GACGUAGGGGGCGAGCGUUGUCCGGAUUUACUGGGCGUAAAGAGCGCGUAGGCGGUCUGUUAAGUGUGAAGUGAAAUCUCCAGAGCUCAACUCGGAAACUGCUUCGCAUACUGGCAGACUUGAGGAAUGCAGAGGUGAAUAGAAUUCCUGGUGUAGCGGUGAAAUGCGUAGAUAUCAGGAGGAAUACCCAUGGCGAAGGCAGUUCACUGGGCAUUAUCUGACGCUGAGGCGCGAAAGCGUGGGUAGCAAACAGG
Molecule: ribosomal RNA, 254 nt
Filed under: uncultured Armatimonadota bacterium
Lineage: Bacteria; Bacillati; Armatimonadota
Description: uncultured Armatimonadetes bacterium partial 16S ribosomal RNA
Rfam family: Bacterial small subunit ribosomal RNA
Source: RNAcentral